GACGAACGCUGGCGGCGUGCUUAACACAUGCAAGUCGAACGGAAAGGCCCUGCUUUUGUGGGGUGCUCGAGUGGCGAACGGGUGAGUAACACGUGAGUAACCUGCCCUUGACUUUGGGAUAACUUCAGGAAACUGGGGCUAAUACCGGAUAGGAGCUCCUGCUGCAUGGUGGGGGUUGGAAAGUUUCGGCGGUUGGGGAUGGACUCGCGGCUUAUCAGCUUGUUGGUGGGGUAGUGGCUUACCAAGGCUUUGACGGGUAGCCGGCCUGAGAGGGUGACCGGCCACAUUGGGCCUGAGAUACGGCCCAGACGCCUACGGGAGGCAGCAGUGGGGAAUAUUGCACAAUGGGCGGAAGCCUGAGGCAGCAACGCCGCGUGCGGGAUGACGGCCUUCGGGUUGUAAACCGCUUUCGCCUGUGACGAAGCGUGAGUGACGGUAAUGGGUAAAGAAGCACCGGCUAACUACGUG
RNAcentral lists this ribosomal RNA (468 nucleotides) under uncultured bacterium. Its description in RNAcentral is "partial 16S ribosomal RNA". It matches the Rfam family "Bacterial small subunit ribosomal RNA", at positions 28 to 507 of the family's 1533-position model. The record is from RNAcentral.